GGCCGGUUGGCCCAAUGGCAAGGCGUCUGACUACGAUUUCGAUUGUCAUCUCCCUCAAUUCGAGCGGCAAGGAGGAUAUUGCAUAUCAGUUAUCAGGAGAUUCUGGGUUCGACCCCCAGGCUGGUCA
This 127-nucleotide transfer RNA is filed under the name Colletotrichum tofieldiae. It matches the Rfam family "tRNA". From Rfam's summary of the family: Transfer RNA (tRNA) molecules are approximately 80 nucleotides in length. Their secondary structure includes four short double-helical elements and three loops (D, anti-codon, and T loops). Further hydrogen bonds mediate the characteristic L-shaped molecular structure. tRNAs have two regions of fundamental functional importance: the anti-codon, which is responsible for specific mRNA codon recognition, and the 3' end, to which the tRNAs corresponding amino acid is attached (by aminoacyl-tRNA synthetases). tRNAs cope with the degeneracy of the genetic code in two manners: having more than one tRNA (with a specific anti-codon) for a particular amino acid; and 'wobble' base-pairing, i.e. permitting non-standard base-pairing at the 3rd anti-codon position. The record is from Rfam by way of RNAcentral. Lineage: Eukaryota; Fungi; Ascomycota; Sordariomycetes; Glomerellales; Glomerellaceae.